GACGAACGCUGGCGGCGUGCUUAACACAUGCAAGUCGAACGGAAAGGCCUGCUUUCCCUUGUGGAUUGCGGGUACUCGAGUGGCGAACGGGUGAGUAACACGUGAGUGAUCUGCCCCCAACUUGGGUAUAAGCCUGGGAAACUGGGUCUAAUUCCCGACAGGACUGCAGGGUGGUGCCUGUGGUGGAAAACGAUUUUCUAGUGGUUGGGGAUGAGCUCGCGGCCUAUCAGCUUGUUGGUGGGGUAAUGGCCUACCAAGGCGGCGACGGGUAGCCGGCCUGAGAGGGUGGACGGCCACAUUGGGACUGAGAUACGGCCCAGACUCCUACGGGAGGCAGCAGUGGGGAAUAUUGCACAAUGGGCGGAAGCCUGAUGCAGCGACGCCGCGUGGGGGAUGACGGCCUUCGGGUUGUAAACUCCUUUCGACCGCGAGGAAGCCACCUGGUUGGAAGGGUGGUGACGGUAGUGGUAGAAGAAGCACCGGCUAACUACGUG
This 494-nucleotide ribosomal RNA is filed under the name uncultured bacterium. Its description in RNAcentral is "partial 16S ribosomal RNA". It matches the Rfam family "Bacterial small subunit ribosomal RNA", at positions 28 to 507 of the family's 1533-position model. The record is from RNAcentral.